This 53-nucleotide ribosomal RNA is filed under the name Microbacterium sp. AG1240. Lineage: Bacteria; Bacillati; Actinomycetota; Actinomycetes; Micrococcales; Microbacteriaceae. The record is from RNAcentral.
GCGCCGAUGGUACUGCAGGGGGGACCCUGUGGGAGAGUAGGACACCGCCGGAC